This 431-nucleotide ribosomal RNA is filed under the name uncultured bacterium. RNAcentral describes it as "partial 16S ribosomal RNA". It matches the Rfam family "Bacterial small subunit ribosomal RNA", at positions 29 to 507 of the family's 1533-position model. The record is from RNAcentral.
AACGAACGCUGGCGGCAUGCCUAACAUGCAAGUCGCACGAGACCUUCGGGUCUAGUGGCGCCCGGGUGCGUAACGCGUGGGAACCUGCCCUUAGGUUCGGAAUAACUCCCCGAAAGGGGUGCUAAUACCGGAUAAUGUCUUCGGACCAAAGAUUUAUCGCCUUUGGAUGGGCCCGCGUUGGAUUAGCUAGUUGGUAGGGUAAAAGCCUACCAAGGCGACGAUCCAUAGCUGGUCUGAGAGGAUGAUCAGCCACACUGGGACUGAGACACGGCCCAGACUCCUACGAGAGGCAGCAGUGGGGAAUAUUGGACAAUGGGCGAAAGCCUGAUCCAGCAAUGCCGCGUGAGUGAUGAAGGCCUUAGGGUUGUAAAGCUCUUUUACCCGGGAUGAUAAUGACAGUACCGGGAGAAUAAGCUCCGGCUAACUCCGUG